GUAGGUGAACCUGCGGAAGGAUCAUUACCAAUGUCUUCGGGGGGACUCCGGUCCCUGUCUGAACCCUUGUCUUUUGCGUACUAUUUGUUUCCUUGGUGGGCUUUGCCUGCCAAAAGGACACUAUAUAACCCUUUGUAAUUGCAAUCAGCGUCAGAAAAACAUAAUAGUUACAACUUUCAACAACGGAUCUCUUGGUUCUG
This 200-nucleotide unclassified non-coding RNA is filed under the name rhizosphere metagenome. RNAcentral's name for it is "partial ribosomal RNA internal transcribed spacer region". The record is from RNAcentral.